GUAACUGCGAGUGAAGAGGGAAGAGCUCAUCAUUGGAAUCUGGCAGUGUUGCGCUGUCCGAGUUGUAGAUGAGGAGUAGUCCAUCUGGGCUGCAUGGCGUCCAAGUACAAUAGGCCGUCAGUGGGACAUCAUAGAGGGUGACAAUCCCGUCCUUGAUGCCAAUGUGCAAGUCCGCUACGAUGGCUAUCUCAGAGAGUCGAGCAGUUUGGGAUUUGCUGCUUAAACAUGGGAGGUAGAUUCCUUCUAAAGCUAAAUACAGGCGAGAGACCGAUAGAGAACAAGUACCGCAAGGGAAAGAUGAAAUAGAACUCUGUGAAGGGAGUCAAAAGGCGUGAAAUUGUUGCGAGAGAAGCGAUUCAAGUCAGCGUAGCUAGGCCCAUCAAGCACUCUUUGCUUUGGACUAGCUUUGCCAGCGGUCUUGUCCCCCUUAGAAGAGACUUGACUUUGUAUGUCCAGCCUGGUAUGCACAGGUAGCCCCCUGGGGCCAGUGACAUGGCUGGUGGAAUGGCUUGCAAUCGACCCGUCUUGAAACACGGACCAAGGAGUCUAACAUGUAUGCGAGUAUAAGGGUGGCAAACCCGUAUGCGCAAUGAAAGUGACUUUCGGUGAUUGAGAAUGGCCUGAUGACCAGACAAGCGAUAUCAUGUCCCUCGUACGGCCAUUGCCCAAGUUCCGUGGUAGAUCCCACGAACAUGGAGUUGGAGCAUACAUGCUAGGACCCGAAAGAUGGUGAACUAUGCCUGGACAAAGCGAAGCCAAAGGAAACUCUGGUGGAGGCUUGUAGCGAUUCUGACGUGCAAAUCGAUCGUCUGAUCUGGGUAUAGGG
Molecule: ribosomal RNA, 826 nt
Rfam family: Eukaryotic large subunit ribosomal RNA